This 59-nucleotide microRNA precursor is filed under the name Nautilus pompilius. RNAcentral's name for it is "Npo-Mir-12499_pre stem-loop". The record is from RNAcentral. Lineage: Eukaryota; Metazoa; Mollusca; Cephalopoda; Nautilida; Nautilidae.
AACACCCGAGUGAGCGGCUGAGGAAUACGAUACAUUCCGAGCCCUUACGAGGGUAUUCU